AGUCAGUUGUUUAAAACAUUGCAACUUACCUGUUACCUUGUUACAAAUUUUAUUCUUGCACUCUUAUAACUAACAAAAUUUUGAGCUAACAGUUUUGUUAUUAUAAUGUGUUAUGUAGUUUUGUUUAUCCAUGGGGUGUGGGGGGGAAAUGUGGUUAAACAUGGAAGUUCAGUCGGAAGACUGCUGCGAUGUACAGGAAGAUAGGGCCCCGCCCCUCCAGUCUAGUUAGCCAAUAAGAGAUUAGUAAUAACGUAAGCAGACCAUAGUUAUAUAAGGCCAUGCAAAGAGGAAAUAAAUGCCAUUUUGCCAUCCACCACAUUGGUGUUCGUGAGUGAUCGGCCCGAACGACCUGUAAGUUAGUCGUCGUGUCUUUCUCGAACCGGGUUGCCCUGCCUCGAGAGAGGCAACACACAUCAUAAAGUCCAGUGAUGGGGUCACAACCUGCAAUUCCCAAGUCAUCUAUUAAUAUGUUUCUAAAGAGCUUACAAAUUAGGCAGUAAAUAUUCUGGAUAUUUCUUCCUGUUUUGUGUACAGAAUGGGAAAAGCAGAAUUCACUACAUCACAAUUUUUAAUUGACGUAUUCAUUGCAAAGGUUUAUCCUUGUACAAAAAUACCCACACACAGAAUUUAGAAAUAUGUUUUAAUUCAGCUUUUGCUGGCUGAACAAUAUACUAUGUUGUAUUAAUAUAUUUUUUUAAUGAUUCUGAAAGUAUUAAAGGUUUCAAUUUUUUGUCAUCACUACCUGUGUACACAUUCUAAAUAAGUAAACUUCUAUCUAAAAGUACAUUCCAGUUUUUGACUUUGUAUUUUGCAUUCAUUUAUACCAAAUGUGUAUAGUCAGAUUCUGACUACACCUAUGUACAUUUUAUAGGAAUGCAUUUCAGCACAACAGGAAUAGAAAUUAUUUUUUAAAAGUACUGCAGUUUUAACUGCAUAUACCCCCAAUGGUGUUCAUAUUUUUGAAAGACUAAAAAAAAAGCAAUUUCUAUAGUGUGUGCACUGUUUUGUUGAUUGAACUUCAUAUAUUAUUUAUAUUUUCAAAUAAAAUUUCUCUCUGUGUUUUAGAAGUUAAAAAUAGCUUAAAAGUUUGUCGUCUUAGGACUACAUAUAUUAGUAAUGCAUACAGAAUCAGUCUGAAAGGAAAUCAUGGUCCUUAUGAUUUACAGUUAUUCUUAAUAUUUUUAACAGUGUUAUUGCCCAGUUGCUUAGUGUUCACACUGAGAGUUGGUAGCAUCACUUUCAGGGAAGCAAGAUACUUGAUGUUUCAAUCAGCAAAGACAGUGAACUAAUACCCCUGAGCUCUGCCAAGCAAUGGCUCAAAUACAGGGACAAUGCUGAAACUGCGUGCUGUGCCUUGAAGACCAUGGCACUGAGAAAUAGACUAUGAAGGAAACAGUAACAGCAGGAAAUGCAAUACAAAAUGUUGACACCUGUAAUUAAUCUGAUAAUAUAUGAAAAAGUGAUUUAAAACUAACUGAAAAUAGGAAAACAUUGAACAUUUUCACAUGAUUAUCUAAAAUACUGUCUCACUAGAAUCCAGAAUAGGUCUCCAUCUAGAAUCUCCCUCAUAGGUCAGUUUUUUGCACCCACACACAGGGUGUCAUGUUCUGGAUUUGUGACAAAAACAGUGUUGGCAACACACCCAUGUUGUAGCUAGUGCUGAAAAAUAUAUCACAUCUGCACAAUAUCAAAGCCAUUUCUGUUUCUCACACUGUCCUGAAAACAAGUAAGGCUAGGAAUGUAAAGCAUAGUCUGGGAGGAGACACACCUGACUUCAACUGACCCCCACGGUAUCUCACACCACAUAUAGCACUAUGCCCAAUAAAAGAUAGGAAGAAGAAGGAAGAAGGAACA
Long non-coding RNA from Lonchura striata (white-rumped munia), 1854 nucleotides. Lineage: Eukaryota; Metazoa; Chordata; Aves; Passeriformes; Estrildidae. The record is from Ensembl.